AACGGCGUAGAGGAGACCGGUAUCUCGCCAGCCUCAUAAGCUGGAGGGUCACAGUUUCCAAGCCUGUCGCCGCAACCA
This 78-nucleotide transfer RNA is filed under the name Ensifer meliloti. Its description in RNAcentral is "Sinorhizobium meliloti tRNA-Met". It matches the Rfam family "tRNA". Rfam says of the family: Transfer RNA (tRNA) molecules are approximately 80 nucleotides in length. Their secondary structure includes four short double-helical elements and three loops (D, anti-codon, and T loops). Lineage: Bacteria; Pseudomonadati; Pseudomonadota; Alphaproteobacteria; Hyphomicrobiales; Rhizobiaceae. The record is from RNAcentral.